This 410-nucleotide ribosomal RNA is filed under the name uncultured bacterium. Its description in RNAcentral is "bacterial SSU rRNA". It matches the Rfam family "Bacterial small subunit ribosomal RNA", at positions 355 to 774 of the family's 1533-position model. The record is from RNAcentral.
UCGAGAAUCAUUCACAAUGGGGGCAACCCUGAUGGUGCGACGCCGCGUGGGGGAAGAAGGUCUUCGGAUUGUAAACCCCUGUCAUGUGGGAGCAAGCAGCAAUGUUGAUAGUACCACAAGAGGAAGAGACGGCUAACUCUGUGCCAGCAGCCGCGGUAAUACAGAGGUCUCAAGCGUUGUUCGGAAUCACUGGGCGUAAAGAGUACGUAGGCUGUUUUCUAAGUCAGGUGUGAAAGGCAGGGGCUCAACCCCUGGACUGCACAUGAUACUGGGAGACUGGAGUAAUGGAGGGGGAACCGGAAUUCUCGGUGUAGCAGUGAAAUGCGUAGAUAUCGAGAGGAACACUCGUGGCGAAGGCGGGUUCCUGGACAUUAACUGACGCUGAGGUACGAAGGCCAGGGUAGCGAAAG